RNAcentral lists this ribosomal RNA (388 nucleotides) under uncultured bacterium. RNAcentral describes it as "bacterial SSU rRNA". It matches the Rfam family "Bacterial small subunit ribosomal RNA", at positions 28 to 417 of the family's 1533-position model. The record is from RNAcentral.
GACGAACGCUGGCGGCGUGCUUAACACAUGCAAGUCGAGCGGUAAGGCCCUUUCGGGGGUACACGAGCGGCGAACGGGUGAGUAACACGUGGGUGACCUGCCCUCAGCUCUGGGAUAAGCCUGGGAAACCGGGUCUAAUACCGGAUAUGACUCCAUGACGCAUGUUGUGGGGUGGAAAGCCUUGUGCGGCUGAGGAUGGGCCCGCGGCCUAUCAGCUUGUUGGUGGGGUGAUGGCCUACCAAGGCGACGACGGGUAGCCGGCCUGAGAGGGCGACUGGCCACACUGGGACUGAGACACGGCCCAGACUCCUACGGGAGGCAGCAGUGGGGAAUCUUGCGCAAUGGGCGAAAGCCUGACGCAGCGACGCCGCGUGAGGGAUGACGGCCU